UUAAGCGAAUAAGCGUACACGGUGGAUGCCCUGGCAGUCAGAGGCGAUGAAGGACGUGCUAAUCUGCGAAAAGCGUCGGUAAGGUGAUAUGAACCGUUAUAGCCGACGAUAUCCGAAUGGGGAAACCCAGUGUGUUUCGACACACUAUCGUUAACUGAAUACAUAGGUUAACGAGGCGAACCGAGGGAACUGAAACAUCUAAGUACCUCGAGGAAAAGAAAUCAACCGAGAUUCCCCUAGUAGCGGCGAGCGAACGGGGAGGAGCCCAGAGUCUGCAUCAGUCAGUGUGUUAAUGGAACGGUCUGGAAAGUCCGGCGAUACAGGGUGAUAGCCCCGUACAUGAAAAUGCACUGAUUGUGAGCUCGAAGAGUAGGGCGGGACACGUGGUAUCCUGUCUGAAUAUGGGGGGACCAUCCUCCAAGGCUAAAUACUCCUGACUGACCGAUAGUGAACCAGUACCGUGAGGGAAAGGCGAAAAGAACCCCGGCGAGGGGAGUGAAAUAGAACCUGAAACCGUGUACGUACAAGCAGUGGGAGCACGCCUUGAGCGUCACUAUGUGUUGUUGGGUAGGGGAGCGUUCUGUAAGCCGUUGAAGGUGGACUGUGAGGUCUGCUGGAGGUAUCAGAAGUGCGAAUGCUGACAUAAGUAACGAUAAAGCGGGUGAAAAACCCGCUCGCCGGAAGAUCAAGGGUUCCUGUCCAACGUUAAUCGGGGCAGGGUGAGUCGACCCCUAAGGCGAGGCUGAAAAGCGUAGUCGAUGGGAAACAGGUUAAUAUUCCUGUACUUGGUGUUACUGCGAAGGGGGGACGGAGAAGGCUAGGUUAUCCGGGCGACGGUUGUCCCGGUUUAAGCGAGUAGGCUGAUAGUUUUGGUAAAUCCGGAUUAUCUUAAGGCUGAGACGUGAUGACGAGGUUCUACGGAACUGAAGUAAUUGAUGCCAUGCUUCCAGGAAAAGCCUCUAAGCUCUAGGUAACAUUGAAUCGUACCCCAAACCGACACAGGUGAUCAGGUAGAGAAUACCAAGGCGCUUGAGAGAACUCGGGUGAAGGAACUAGGCAAAAUGGUGCCGUAACUUCGGGAGAAGGCACGCUGGCGCGUAGGUGAAGCGACAAGCUCGCGGAGCUGAAGCCAGUCGAAGAUACCAGCUGGCUGCAACUGUUUAUUAAAAACACAGCACUGUGCAAACACGAAAGUGGACGUAUACGGUGUGACGCCUGCCCGGUGCUGGAAGGUUAAUUGAUGGGGUUAUCCUUAGGGAGAAGCUCUUGAUCGAAGCCCCAGUAAACGGCGGCCGUAACUAUAACGGUCCUAAGGUAGCGAAAUUCCUUGUCGGGUAAGUUCCGACCUGCACGAAUGGCGUAAUGAUGGCCAGGCUGUCUCCACCCGAGACUCAGUGAAAUUGAAAUCGCUGUGAAGAUGCAGUGUACCCGCGGCAAGACGGAAAGACCCCGUGAACCUUUACUAUAGCUUGACACUGAACAUUGAGCCUUGAUGUGUAGGAUAGGUGGGAGGCUUUGAAGUGUGGACGCUAGUCUGCAUGGAGCCAACCUUGAAAUACCACCCUUUAAUGUUUGAUGUUCUAACGUAGACCCGUAAUCCGGGUUGCGGACAGUGUCUGGUGGGUAGUUUGACUGGGGCGGUCUCCUCCCAAAGAGUAACGGAGGAGCACGAAGGUUAGCUAAUCACGGUCGGACAUCGUGAGGUUAGUGCAAAGGCAUAAGCUAGCUUGACUGCGAGAGUGACAGUUCGAGCAGGUGCGAAAGCAGGUCUUAGUGAUCCGGUGGUUCUGAAUGGAAGGGCCAUCGCUCAACGGAUAAAAGGUACUCCGGGGAUAACAGGCUGAUACCGCCCAAGAGUUCAUAUCGACGGCGGUGUUUGGCACCUCGAUGUCGGCUCAUCACAUCCUGGGGCUGAAGUAGGUCCCAAGGGUACGGCUGUUCGCCGUUUAAAGUGGUACGCGAGCUGGGUUUAGAACGUCGUGAGACAGUUCGGUCCCUAUCUGCCGUGGGCGUUGGAGAAUUGAGGGGGGUUGCUCCUAGUACGAGAGGACCGGAGUGAACGCACCACUGGUGUUCGGGUUGUCAUGCCAAUGGCAUUGCCCGGUAGCUAAGUGCGGAAAAGAUAAGUGCUGAAAGCAUCUAAGCACGAAACUUGCCCCAAGAUGAGUUCUCCCUGACUCCUUGAGAGUCCUGAAGGGACGUUGAAGACUACGACGUUGAUAGGCUGGGUGUGUAAGUGCAGCGAUGCAUUGAGCUAACCAGUACUAAUGACCCGUGAGGCUUAACC
RNAcentral lists this ribosomal RNA (2287 nucleotides) under Frankliniella occidentalis (western flower thrips). RNAcentral's name for it is "bacterial LSU rRNA". It matches the Rfam family "Bacterial large subunit ribosomal RNA". The record is from RNAcentral. Lineage: Eukaryota; Metazoa; Arthropoda; Insecta; Thysanoptera; Thripidae.